RNAcentral lists this transfer RNA (74 nucleotides) under Deltaproteobacteria bacterium. Its description in RNAcentral is "tRNA-Trp". It matches the Rfam family "tRNA". Rfam says of the family: Transfer RNA (tRNA) molecules are approximately 80 nucleotides in length. Their secondary structure includes four short double-helical elements and three loops (D, anti-codon, and T loops). Further hydrogen bonds mediate the characteristic L-shaped molecular structure. tRNAs have two regions of fundamental functional importance: the anti-codon, which is responsible for specific mRNA codon recognition, and the 3' end, to which the tRNAs corresponding amino acid is attached (by aminoacyl-tRNA synthetases). tRNAs cope with the degeneracy of the genetic code in two manners: having more than one tRNA (with a specific anti-codon) for a particular amino acid; and 'wobble' base-pairing, i.e. permitting non-standard base-pairing at the 3rd anti-codon position. Lineage: Bacteria; Pseudomonadati; Myxococcota; Myxococcia. The record is from RNAcentral.
AGGGGAGUAGCUCAGCUUGGUAGAGCAGCGGUCUCCAAAACCGCGGGUCGCAGGUUCGAUCCCUGUCUCCCCUG